Molecule: ribosomal RNA, 303 nt
Filed under: uncultured Gammaproteobacteria bacterium
Lineage: Bacteria; Pseudomonadati; Pseudomonadota; Gammaproteobacteria
Description: bacterial SSU rRNA
Rfam family: Bacterial small subunit ribosomal RNA
Source: RNAcentral
GGCAACCCUGAUCCAGCCAUGCCGCGUGUGUGAAGAAGGCCUUAGGGUUGUAAAGCACUUUCAGUAGGGAGGAAGGCCCAGUAGUUAAUACCUGCAGGGAUUGACGUUACCUACAGAAGCAGCACCGGCUAACUCCGUGCCAGCAGCCGCGGUAAUACGGAGGGUGCAAGCGUUAAUCGGAAUCACUGGGCGUAAAGCGCGCGUAGGCGGUUUGUUAAGUGAGAUGUGAAAGCCCAGGGCUCAACCUUGGAACUGCAUCUCAUACUGGCAGGCUAGAGUACGGUAGAGGGGGGUAGAAUUCCA